AACAGGAUAUUGUUGACAGGAUGUUACAUUCUGGUUGGGUCACCCAGAUGCUGAGAAAGAAUUUUUGACGGCUGUUAGGUUUAUUUAAGUUAACAGUUGUCUGAUUCUAGGGACUGUUAGCAGCUGUAAGGACCUGUAACAGAGCGCUUUCUUCCACAGCAGUAUAUUGUUGACAGGAUGUUACAUUCUGGUUGGGUCACCCAGAUGCUGAGAAAGAAUUUUUGACGGCUGUUAGGUUUAUUUAAGUUAACAGUUGUCUGAUUCUAGGGACUGUUAGCAGCUGUAAGGACCUGUAACAGAGCGCUUUCUUCCACAGCAGUAUAUUGUUGACAGGAUGUUACAUUCUGGUUGGGUCACCCAGAUGCUGAGAAAGAAUUUUCGACGGCUGUUAGGGUUUUGGGAAGGUAAUUGUUAGCAAUCGUUCAAUUCACUUAAGCUGUUAAGCGGUGCCAAGGGCUGUAGUUGCUAACAGGCCUUGANN
RNAcentral lists this long non-coding RNA (481 nucleotides) under Volvox carteri. RNAcentral's name for it is "long non-coding RNA (VCAR_LNC004127)". The record is from RNAcentral. Lineage: Eukaryota; Viridiplantae; Chlorophyta; Chlorophyceae; Chlamydomonadales; Volvocaceae.